UUAAGGAGCCUGAGGACGGGGGCGGCGGACCUGCUCGGUGCCUUAGCCGGGGGAGGUGCCUGUGGAAAUGGGGCCUCAGGUGUUAGCCGGGCAAAGCCGCUGGGACCCCGGGAAGCCCCGCGGAGCUGGUGCUGCGAAUUGGUUUCUGGUUUGGUGCAAUAUCAACCCAGAACAACUAUGCUUCCUAAGAGAGAAAUGCCCAAACACCAAGGCCUAGCUUUUGUGCAUGACCAUGAGAAAGAAGAUCUAUAAAGAAAGUGGCUUUGUAUGCCUAAUGCUUUGUGAAGAAAUUAUUAUGUGCCGCUUCAGAGCUGGAGCUGAGGACUUGUUGAUUACCUCCCAUUUACCAAGAUUACAGCAAAUUAUAUUCAACUGCACUGGCAUACUUAUUAAUAUACCUGCAAUAUGGUACAUUACCUUUUGGAAUAUGGAUGAGCAGCACCC
Molecule: long non-coding RNA, 444 nt
Organism: Eptesicus fuscus (big brown bat)
Lineage: Eukaryota; Metazoa; Chordata; Mammalia; Chiroptera; Vespertilionidae
Exons: 4
Source: RefSeq, a predicted model, not a curated record